RNAcentral lists this transfer RNA (72 nucleotides) under Nitrospina sp. RNAcentral's name for it is "tRNA-Glu". It matches the Rfam family "tRNA". From Rfam's summary of the family: Transfer RNA (tRNA) molecules are approximately 80 nucleotides in length. Their secondary structure includes four short double-helical elements and three loops (D, anti-codon, and T loops). Further hydrogen bonds mediate the characteristic L-shaped molecular structure. tRNAs have two regions of fundamental functional importance: the anti-codon, which is responsible for specific mRNA codon recognition, and the 3' end, to which the tRNAs corresponding amino acid is attached (by aminoacyl-tRNA synthetases). tRNAs cope with the degeneracy of the genetic code in two manners: having more than one tRNA (with a specific anti-codon) for a particular amino acid; and 'wobble' base-pairing, i.e. permitting non-standard base-pairing at the 3rd anti-codon position. The record is from RNAcentral. Lineage: Bacteria; Pseudomonadati; Nitrospinota; Nitrospinia; Nitrospinales; Nitrospinaceae. RNAcentral also lists the same sequence under 1 other name.
GGCCCCAUCGUCUAGGGGUAAGGACGCCGGCCUCUCACGCCGGAAACAGGGGUUCGAUUCCCCUUGGGGCUA